This 882-nucleotide unclassified non-coding RNA is filed under the name Agrilus planipennis (emerald ash borer). Its description in RNAcentral is "uncharacterized LOC108735934, transcript variant X2". The record is from RNAcentral. Lineage: Eukaryota; Metazoa; Arthropoda; Insecta; Coleoptera; Buprestidae.
AGAAAAACUGAGCUUUUAAAAUCAGAUGAUACAAUAAGAGAGACCGUUUUCAUAAAAAAGGAAGCACUAAUUGAUAAUUGUACUUCUGAAGGUGAUGUAAAUAAAGAAACCAAUAUAAAAAGGGAAGUAGAAAACGAUAAACUUGCAAGUGAAAGUGGAUUUAUUGACAAAACAUGGGGUUUUUCUAAAAAAGAAGAUAGUAGAAAAACUGACCCUUUAAAAUCAGAUAUAAUAGAAAAGGAAGUACUAGAUAAUAUUUCUGCAGGUAAAAUCGAGCUUACAAUUAAUUACAUGCUGAAGUCAAAGAAAAGGCAUUCAAAUGUAAAACCUGUGGUCAAAAAUUCACUAGAAAGUAAGUCGUGAUUAAUAUCUCUGUGUAACUGAUUAACAGUAUUAUUCUGCUUUAAAUUUGGUUUAGCAUUUUAUACAGGGAAUCCUUUGUAUUUGUUGUUUACAUGUAUGAUUUAAACUAGUCAUUACCCUAUGUUUAAUCAAGAUAAGCAUUUGUUACUCUCUAUAAAGGAACUGCCCAUUGAAGGCAUUAAUUUUGAUGACAUUCUGGAAACUGAUAACUGUUGUAUUAGAAUAACCAUUAUUAUUACUAGUAUGCAUUUCAUAUUUUCAUUUGGAGUAUUAUUGAAGUUAAAAAUACCUUGGACAGAGAAGGUUAGAAAUGAGGGUAUGAGAAAUAUUAGGAGAAUAGAAAGAAGGCAAUGAGAAAUGGUUUGGUGGGACAGCUUUUCAGGCAUUAAGGUCUAGUUGGAGACAUUACAAAAAGAAACAGAUGUUAAGAUAGGCAGAUGGUGAAUCUAUACAGGGUGUCCCAGUUAUAAUAAAAAAAAAACCAUGGCUUCCUGACACAAAAUACAACAAAAAAGUGUU